CCUACGGGAGGCAGCAGUGGGGAAUAUUGCACAAUGGGCGAAAGCCUGAUGCAGCAACGCCGCGUGAGCGAUGAAGGCCUUCGGGUCGUAAAGCUCUGUUCUCAAGGAAGAUAAUGACGGUACUUGAGGAGUAACCCCCGGCAAACUACGUACCAGCAGCCGGGGUAAUACGUCGUGGGCUCGCGUGAUACGGAAUUACUGGGCGUAAGGUGGGCGUAGCGGGUUUCUUAAGUCAGAGGUGAAAGGCUAGGGCUAAACCGGAGUAAGCCUUUGAAACUGGGGAACUUGAGUGCAGGAGAGGAGAGUGGAAUUCCUGGUGUAGCGGUGAAAUGCGUAGAUAUCAGGAGGAACACCAGUUGCGAAGGCGGCUUUCUGGCCUGUAACUGACACUGAGGCACGAAAGCGUGGGUAGCAAACAGGAUUAGAUACCCCUGUAGUC
RNAcentral lists this ribosomal RNA (439 nucleotides) under uncultured bacterium. Its description in RNAcentral is "partial 16S ribosomal RNA". It matches the Rfam family "Bacterial small subunit ribosomal RNA", at positions 338 to 795 of the family's 1533-position model. The record is from RNAcentral.